RNAcentral lists this non-coding RNA (47 nucleotides) under Brucella intermedia. RNAcentral's name for it is "Ochrobactrum intermedium Guanidine-II sequence". It matches the Rfam family "Guanidine-II riboswitch aptamer (mini-ykkC)". Rfam says of the family: Simpler in structure and has fewer highly conserved nucleotide positions than the ykkC-yxkD leader. RNAcentral also lists the same sequence under 1 other name. The record is from RNAcentral. Lineage: Bacteria; Pseudomonadati; Pseudomonadota; Alphaproteobacteria; Hyphomicrobiales; Brucellaceae.
CGGGAAGGACGGCCUUCCUGCCCUCAUCAACGAACGGGACGGCCCGU